This 460-nucleotide ribosomal RNA is filed under the name uncultured bacterium. RNAcentral's name for it is "partial 16S ribosomal RNA". It matches the Rfam family "Bacterial small subunit ribosomal RNA", at positions 338 to 795 of the family's 1533-position model. The record is from RNAcentral.
CCUACGGGAGGCAGCAGUGAGGAAUAUUGGUCAAUGGGCUUACGCCUGAACCAGCCAAGUCGCGUGAGGGAAGACUGCCCUAUGGGUUGUAAACCUCUUUUGUCAGGGAGCAACGCCGGCUACGUGUAGCCGGACUGAGAGUACCUGAAGAAAAAGCAUCGGCUAACUCCGUGCAAGCAGCCGCGGUAAUACGGAGGAUGCGAGCGUUAUCCGGAUUUAUUGGGUUUAAAGGGUGCGUAGGCGGAAUGCCAAGUCAGCGGUAAAAUCGCGGGGCUCAACCUCGCUCCGCCGUUGAAACUGGCGUUCUUGAGUGGGCGAGAAGUAUGCGGAAUGCGUGGUGAAGCGGUGAAAUGCAUAGAUAUAACGCAGAACACCGAUGGCGAAGGCAGCAUACCGGCGCCCAACUGACGCUGAAGCACGAAAGCGUGGGUAGCGAACAGGAUUAGAUACCCUAGUAGUC